AUACGUAGGGUGCGAGCGUUGUCCGGAAUUACUGGGCGUAAAGAGCUCGUAGGUGGUUUGUCGCGUCGUCUGUGAAAUUCCGGGGCUUAACUCCGGGCGUGCAGGCGAUACGGGCAUAACUUGAGUACUGUAGGGGAGACUGGAAUUCCUGGUGUAGCGGUGAAAUGCGCAGAUAUCAGGAGGAACACCGGUAGCGAAGGCGGGUCUCUGGGCAGUAACGGACGCUGAGGAGCGAAAGCAUGGGUAGCGAACAGGAUUAGAUACCCUGGUAGUCCAUGCCGUAAACGGUGGGCGCUAGGUGUAGGGGUCUUCCACGACUUCUGUGCCGUAGCUAACGCAUUAAGCGCCCCGCCUGGGGAGUACGGCCGCAAGGCUAAAACUCAAAGGAAUUGACGGGG
RNAcentral lists this ribosomal RNA (398 nucleotides) under uncultured bacterium. RNAcentral describes it as "partial 16S ribosomal RNA". It matches the Rfam family "Bacterial small subunit ribosomal RNA", at positions 523 to 918 of the family's 1533-position model. The record is from RNAcentral.